Sorghum bicolor (sorghum) is the source of this 8214-nucleotide RNA transcript. It is a transcript of the gene named CCR4-NOT transcription complex subunit 1, with no coding region annotated. The record is from RefSeq and is a predicted model, not a curated record. The transcript has 49 exons. NCBI's taxonomy places the organism in Eukaryota, Viridiplantae, Streptophyta, Magnoliopsida, Poales, Poaceae.
UGUACUGGUCACCUCGCCUGCGCUCUCUCCGCCUGGCGAUUGCAGAAGCAGAAGCCAGCAGCAGCGAUCCCGCCCUAGCUAGCUCGCCGCCCUCGUUCACCGCUUACUGCCGGCGGGAUGAUCCCGUUCAACCCCGCGGUCGCCGCGGAGGUGCGCGCCCUGAUCCAGGGCGCCGAGGACUCCACCUUCGAUCCCAUAUAUCGCGAGCUCUCCCAGCUUGUGGAUUGUAGCCCUGAUGGGUGCGUUUUGUUGCUUCAAGUUUGUGUGGAUGAAAUGCUCUUGAACAUUGGUGGGGCAAAGAACCACCAAUUGAAACAUGAUCUUGUAGCCACCAUCUUCAGAUAUUGUGUGGAUAAACCCUACUUCAGCACCAGUUUCUGUGAAGCAUUGAGGGCAAUACCUGUCAGCGAUGGGUUCCUUGAAACACUGUCCAAUGAACUUGAGUUAUCUGCAGCUGAGAGGGUUGGAGUUGGACUUGCUCUCUCAGAUUCUGAGAAUCCAGACUUGAACCUGGAAGGGAGAAAAUUUGUAAUUGCUCAAAUUGAGGAGUUAUGCUCAAACCAUGCUCAUUCUGUAUCAAAUGAAUGGAUCCAGGAGAUUGUUGUGUUUCUUCUUCGGACUGAAGGCCUCUCAAAGCAUAUGAACUCCUUUACUAAGAUUAUUUCCCUAUUAAAUGUUGAAGAGGGGCCAUUCUAUUUUCCUGUUCCACUUCAGCAAGCCAACAGUGAUCAAGCAAAUUCUUUGAGAUAUACAGAGAUGUGCAUUGGUAGCUCAGAUGAUGAUUUUGACUCCCUUCUAUCUGAAAUUGGAAAACAAAUAAGCCUGCCUGAUAUCAUCAGUGAACUGGGAUAUGGAUGUACUUCUGAUACUACUCAUUGUAAAGAAAUGUUAUCACUCCUUGAGCCUCUUGAUGAUAUGGGAAUCUCUAAGUUACUAGGGGCGGUUGUUUGCACUCGUAUUGGUGUUGGAGAAGCUCAAAAUACAUAUUCAAUAUUCCUUUCGGCUUUUGGGAACAACCAAACAAUUGACUCAUCUCAGUUGACUGCAUGGGAUAUUGAUGUCCUUGUGGAUUCAAUCAAUGAAAUUGCACCUGGAACUAACUGGACGCAUGUAAUAGAAAGUCUUGAUCAUGAGGGUUUCAUUAUCCCUGAUGAAGCAGCUUUUCGUUUAUUGAUGUCUAUAUAUUCUCGAUCCUGCAAGGAUCCAUUCCCACUUCAUGCCAUUUGUGGGUCACUGUGGAAUAAUACAGAAGGACAACUGUCAUUCUUGAAACAUGCAGUGGCUUUGCCAAAUGAUACAUUUACUUUCGCACAUUCUACCAGGAAGAUGGCUUUUCCAGACUUGGGAAAUCACAACCAAGGCAACCAGGCUUGGUACUGUCUUGACCUUCUUGAGGUGUUAUGUCAGCUUGCCGAAUUUGGCUAUGCAAAGCCAGUGCGAGCAAUGCUUGAUUAUCCUCUGAUCAAUUGUCCUGAAGUGUUACUUCUUGGUGUUAGCCAUAUCAAUACUGUAUAUAAUCUCAUCCAGCAGGAAGUGUUGUCAUGUGUUUUUCCUUCUGUGGUGAAGAACACCAUGCACAGCAGUCUUAUGAACUAUCUUUGGCAUAUCAACCCUUACCUUACUCUUCGAGGAUUUGUUGAUGCUCAUUCUGACAUAAGUUGUCUUCUGCGAACGGUUGAGAUAUGUGAAGACCUAAAGAUCUUGGCUACUGUCCUUGAUUCCACCCCGUUUGCAUUUAGCAUUAGACUUGCUACAGCUGCCUUUAGGAAGGACCAUAGCCAUCUUGAAAAAUGGCUAUCUGAAAAGUUGAGUGCACAAAGAGUUACCUUUCUUGAGGAAUGUGUUCAAUUCUUGAAAGAAAUUAUGAUAAACACAAAUUAUAAUGCUGUGGAAGGUGCCAUUCAACAUCUUCAAGCUACUCUUUCAAAUAUCUGCUGGGACUCUUGCCCUGUAUUUAUAAAGGUUCUUCGUUCUCACUCGGGGCAGCUGCUAUCUAACCAACUGGUGGAUGAACUAAGGAGAGUUGAAUCAAUGUAUGAAUCAAGUAAUCGUGGUGAUGUAGGAAGGGACAUGCCUUCUUCUGAUGGAGGUUCUGAAGACAUCGAAGCUCAGGCAAAUAUUUAUUUUCAACAGAUGUUUGCUGGACAGAUAAGCAUUGAUGCUAUGAUACAGAUGCUUGCACGCUUCAAAGAAUCAAAAGACAAGAGGGAGCUAUCAAUUUUCAACUGCAUGAUCUCAAAUUUGUUUGAAGAAUACAAGUUCUUCCCAAAGUAUCCAGAUGCACAACUUAAAUUAGCUGCUGUGCUUUUUGGCUCUGUCAUAAAACAUCAACUUGUGGCCCACCUGGCACUUGGAAUUGCUCUACGCGGUGUUCUUGAUGCCCUGCGUAAAUCCAUUGAUUCAAAGAUGUUUAUGUUUGGUACAACAGCAUUGGAGCAGUUUAUGGAUCGAGUAAUUGAGUGGCCACAAUAUUGCAAUCAUAUACUGCAGAUUUCACAUCUUCGUGGGACACAUGCUGAGUUAGUUUCUGCUAUCGAGCAAGCACUUGCCAAGAUAUCGUUGAGUCAAAAUGAGCCCAAUUUGAGCCCCAUGCUUCCUGUGGAUCAGCGAGGUUCUGGUUCACAGUCUAUUGAAAACAUAGAGUCUUCUGAAGCACCAUGGCAGUUCAUAAAUUCAACUCCAACACAACUAGAUAGGACAAUUUCUUCCUUUGCAUUGCAACAGAAGAAUCAGGGAUUUCUCGAGGAGAGGUCCAAAGGCUCUACUAGUACCAGUCAAACAAAAACCAUCAUGGCUAUUGGUCAACCUCCUCUCACUUCAAUUAGUGAUUUGGGUGUCAAUUCAAAGACUACUGUGUCACUGUCGGCUCAAGCUUCACCCCAUCAUUCUAGCAGCGCAUCAGCUCUUUCACAAUCUUCUGGUUUUCUACGAUCUAGAACUUCAGCUCCAGCAGGCAUUCUUCGACAACCUUCCUACACUACAGGAUUUGGAUCUGCUUUAAAUAUCGAGACUCUUGUUGCUGCAGCUGAACAAAGGGAUACACCAAUUGAGGCCCCACCACCUGAAGUUCAAGACAAAAUUUUCUUCAUGAUCAAUAAUAUUUCCAUUUCUAAUAUGGAGGCUAAGGCAAAAGAGUUUAAUGAGGUUUUACAGGAGCAUUAUUAUCCUUGGUUUGCACAAUACAUGGUUAUGAAAAGGGCAAGCAUUGAACCGAAUUUCCAUGACUUAUAUUUGAAAUUCUUCGACAAGGUUAACACAAAAUCAUUGAAUAAGGAAAUAAUGAAAGCUACAUACGAGAACUGCAAGGUCUUGUUACGGUCGGAUCUUAUCAAAUCUAGUUCUGAAGAGCGUUCGUUGCUAAAAAAUCUUGGUAGCUGGCUUGGAAAAUGCACUAUAGGUAGGAAUCAAACAUUACGAGCAAAGGAAAUUGACCCAAAAAUCUUAAUAGUUCAGGCUUAUGAAAGGGGGUUGAUGAUUGCGGUCAUUCCGUUUACUUCAAAGAUUCUUGAACCUUGCCAAUCAAGUAUAGCAUAUCGUCCUCCAAAUCCCUGGACGAUGGGUAUUCUUAGUCUUCUUGUUGAGAUAUACAAUCUACCUAAUCUCAAAAUGAACCUCAAGUUUGACAUUGAGGUCUUGUUUAAGAAUCUUAGUGUGGACAUGAAAGAUGUAAAACCAUCUUCUCUUCUUAAAGAUCGGAUUCGGCAAGUUGUCGGAAAUCCAGAUUUUUCAAAUAAAGAUGUUAUUGCAUCUCAAACACCUUCAGCAGUGGAGGUCUCUUCCGGUAUCGUUCCUUCACUGAACCAUGUAGAACUACAACCGGAGAUUAAUAGCACUUCACGUGCUACAAGCCUUCCAAAUAUGCUUAGUCAGUAUGCAGCACCUAUUCGCCUACCUCCAAACAGUAUGGUUGAAGAUGAUAAGGUUGCUUUAAUCAUGCCUGAACAAGUUAGCUCUCACAGUCUGACCCAGGUUGCACCACCUCAAACACCAUCACCGUCCCCAUUUUCUUUGAGUCAGCUUAUGGCAGCAAUUCCACGUGCUGAUAUAUAUUUCAGAAUCAAUGAAAAGCUUAACUCACUUGGCCCACAAUUGCAGUAUAGCAAAAUCAUGGAUGUGGCAUUAGAUAAGGCUAUUAAGGAGAUUAUAGCUCCUGUUAUUCAAAGAAGUGUUACAAUUGCUAGCCGAACCACCAAGGAACUUAUUGUAAAGGAUUAUGCAAUGGAAUCUGAUGAUGGUACCAUUUCUCGCUCUGCACAUUUGAUGGUUAGUACAUUAGCAGGAAGUUUGGCCCAUGUUACUUCCAAGGAGCCUCUUCGUGUUGCUUUGUUAUCUCAUCUUCGAAGUCUUGUUCAGAACCUGAUUAGCAAUAGUGAAACCACUGAACAAAUUAGUCACAUCCUUGUUAAUGAUAAUCUGGAUCUUGGAUGUGCUCUAACAGAGACUGUGGCAACACGCAAGGCUAUAGAGAUGAUUGAUGGAGACAUAAAGCAAGCUUUUGCACAACUCAGGAGACAAAAGGAACUACAAGGCUCAGCUUAUUAUGAUGUUUCUUCUUACACUCAAGGUCUUACACGUGUCCCUGAUGUACUGCGUCCUAAGCCUUCUGGUAAUUUGUCUGCUGUCCAACGACGAGUAUACGAGGACUUCAUGACUAUGUGGCAUAGCCAGAGUAGUCAAAAUGCUGGUGCAACAACUUCUGCUACAACAGGGGUCAUUGCCCCAACCGAAUCCAGUACUGCUUCAGUUCAUGGACCAAUUUUAGCACCAUCAGCCUCCAGUAGUUUCUCAACUCUCCAAUUUGCUGCAUUCACAUCUGCAAAUCAUUCAACAGAACUAAUACCUGACAAGAUAGAUCCUGGUGCUCCACAACUUUUAAGUAUGACUGACAGUUCUGGCCAAGCUCGUGGAAUCACAAAUGUUGCAUCGAUUUUUCCUCCUAUGGCCUCUGGUGACCUUCUAGUGGGUGAACUAGCAACUGCAACUAAGGAUAUAGGUUCUGCAAUAUCACCUUCACCCACAGUUGCUAUUGAUCGUCUAGGAUCUGCUUUUCCAGAACUGCUGAAUACUGGUGAUGCAUUGGACAGAUAUGAACAUGUUUGGCAGAAGCUCGAAACCUUGAUUGCAAACAAUGGGAAAGAGGUGGAAAUUCAGUCUGUUAUCGCCGAAGUUCCUGAUAUCUUGUGCAGAUGUGUGAGUCGAGAUGAAGCUGCGUUAGCAGUUGCACAGAAGGUUUUCAGAAGUUUGUAUGAAAAUGCGUCAAAGAGCACUUUUGUCACUUGGCUUCUAGCAACCCUUGUUGCAGUGCGUGAUGUUUACAAACUUGUUGUGAAAGAGUUGACAAGCUGGGUAAUAUAUUCAGAUGAAGAGAAGAAAUUUAACUUGGAGAUAGUUAUUGGACUUAUUUGUUAUGAUCUGCUUCAUCUUGGGGAGUAUAAUGCUCAUUUGGCAAAGCUUAUAGAUGGUGGAAGAAACAAGAUGGCAACAGAAUUUGCUAUAUCACUCAUCAAGACAUUGGUUACCCAAGAAUCCAAUAGCGUCUCCGAGCUUUUUAGUGUUGUUGAUGCCUUAUCGAAGCUUGCAAUCAGGCCUGGGUCACCUGAUUCAUUACAGCAAUUGGUUGAAGUUGCAAGGAGUACCUUCACCAGUACUAAUUACGCUGCUUCAAAGGAUGAAAAGGUUAUUCAAUCAAGAGAUAAAAAGGUUGUAUCUGGUCAAUCUCUGAUGAAUAAUGAAGAUAAUGCUGAUGGCAUUGCUUUUACUAAUGCUGCUGAUUUUCAGGACAAGGUUUAUGGAACACAUUUAACUAUCUUUUCUUUGAAAAUCAGGUUGCGGUCUUGUUUUCUGAAUGGUGUCAAAUAUGUGACCAUCCCACUACCAGUGAUUCAGUAUAUAGCCAUCACAUUGUGCAGUUGCAACAGAAUGGCUUGCUGAAGGGAGAUGAUUUGACUGACCGUUUUUUCUUUAAUCUCACUGAACUUGCUAUUGCACACGCAGUGUCUGAGCAAGCUAUUGCUCCUAGUGGACUAUCUCCACAGUCAUCCCAGCAACACCAGAUUUCUUAUUUUUCAAUUGAUUCAUAUUCAAAACUUGUGACUUCAGUUGUCAAGUUAGUGGAUUUGGGACAAAAUAAAGGCAGUCUUCUCCAUAAGAUUUUCUCUGUGACAGCUAGGAUCAUUCAGAAAGAUGCUGAAGAAAAGAAACUUUCUUUCAAUCCUCGGCUGUAUUUCCGUUUGUUUAUAAAUUGGUUAAGUGAGCUUACUUCUUCUGACUUUCACCAUGAUGGCGCUAAUUUUCAGGUACACAUGUUAAAUUGGCAUGUAUAUGUCCUAAUUUUAUAUAUGUUAAAGCAGUUUCACAUAUCCAAAACCUUUUGGACUACCUAUCUGGUACCUGACACAUGUUUGCCAGGUUUUGAGUACAUUUGCAAAUGUACUUCAUAUUCUGCAACCCUUGAGAGUUCCUGCUUGGAGGUUUGUAUAUUGUUUUAAUCCCACUUGGCAAUUUCCUGAAAUCUUUGACUUCCUACUUGCUUUGAUGUUUAAUGCUUUCCUUUUUGUUGAACAAAUAGUUGCCAUUGCAUGUUUCAUUUACACUAAUAUUUUCCAAUGCCUAGUGUCAGAAUUUUUUUUUUCUAAUGUGUAAUAUCACUUCAACAUUUAUUUAUUUGCACAAUGGUCUUGAAGAAAUGACAAUUAGUUUUUGAAGAAAUUACAUGGUUGCAUGAUACAUCACUAUACUGUUUUAUUGCUUGUUAACUAAUUACAUUUUCCAUAUAGUUUUGCCUGGCUUGAAUUGGUGAGCCAUCGAUGCUUCAUGCCAAAGUUAUUAAUGUGCAAUUUGCAAAAAGGCUGGCCAUUUUUCCAGAGGUUGCUUGUCGAUUUGUUCAAAUUCAUGGAGCCAUACCUAAGAAAUGCUGAAUUGGGACAACCUAUUCUCCUUCUGUACAAAGGAACAUUAAGAGUGCUACUUGUGCUAUUGCAUGACUUCCCUGAAUUUCUUUGUGACUAUCACUUCAGUUUCUGUGAUGUGAUUCCCCCAAGCUGCAUUCAAAUGCGUAAUGUUAUUCUUAGUGCUUUCCCACGUAAUAUGAGACUUCCAGAUCCCUCCACUCCUAACCUAAAGAUUGAUCUGCUAGCGGAAAUUUCAAUAGUUCCUCGAAUCAUGACUGAUGUGGAUGGUGCUUUGAAGGCAAAGCAAAUGAAGACUCAGAUUGAUGAAUACCUAAAGAGACCAGAAGGUUCCCUCUUUUUAACCGAUCUAAAGCAGAAGUUGUUAUUAACACAAAAUGAAGCAAACAUUGCUGGGACUCGUUACAAUGUCCCUCUAGUUAAUUCACUUGUCCUUUACGUUGGCAUGCAGGCUGUGCAACAGUUGCAGCAAAACAAGGUGAAUGCAUCAGCACCAGCACAAAUUAACCAAAGUCAAAUGGAUAUAUUCCAAAUUGAAACAGCUACUGAGAUGUUCAGAAACCUUGUAAUGACUAUGGACACAGAAGGUCGCUACCUUAUUCUCAAUGCGAUUGCUAACCAGCUUCGCUAUCCAAAUAGCCAUACCCACUACUUUUCCUUCAUCAUUCUGUACUUGUUUGCUGAGGCAACACAGGAAAUUGUCCAAGAGCAGAUAACAAGGGUUCUUCUGGAAAGGUUAAUUGUCAAUCGGCCGCAUCCUUGGGGAUUACUCAUUACUUUCAUUGAGCUUAUAAAGAACCCACGCUACAGCUUCUGGACUCGAUCCUUUACACACUGUGCUCCUGAGAUAGAGAAGCUUUUUGAGUCGGUUGCAAGGUCCUGUGGAGGUAAAGGCGCGGACGAUGGAAUGGGUCUAGCGGACGGAGGCCACUAGGGGAACAUGCCUAGCAUCGACGAAAGCAUCAGAUGUGGUUUUGCUGAUAUUGUAUAUAGAUUAGAGUAGGACCUGGGUGGUUUGCUUUGGAUGUAAGAUGGGCUUGUGCUAUGCUGGAAGUUGAGGCUAUCUCUUUCUCUCUAUAACACAAAAGUCAGGAGAAACCGUGGGCAAUGGAUCAGGCAACAUGGCUGUUAGCCUGCUAAUCGUUUAGACCCUGCAAGCUCGCAAUAUCGACCGUUCGAUUUGGGUCAUCAUGGGUCUAUCAUAUUUGGGUCAUCAUGGAAUAACUAGGUCCAAAAGAUUUGUCUCGCGAUUUACAGUCAAACUGUGAACUUAGUUAUUUUUUAUUUAUAUUUAAUGUUUCAUGCA